GUUCAAGCCCCACAUUGGGCUCUGCAUUGACAGUGUGGAGCCUGCUUGGGAUUCUCUUUCUCUGCCUUUCCCCAACUCAUAAAAGCAAAUCCUAUAUAUCUGAAGUCUGACACCUUAGCCAUUGGGCUACAUGGCUCCCUGAAAAAUCCCACUUAUCAUAUGUCUUGACCUAUCGCAUUUUAAGAAUAAUCAAGCUAUAAUUAUAAGAUUUUAGGUCCAUUUUUCAGAACCCAUUGUUUUUGUGUUCUACUUUGGCCUUUGAGGGCAUUCUGUUUUUGUGAGUUUUGGGGGGGGGGGGCAUUCAGGUUUUUUAUAUUACAUUUUACAUGUAGUAAUAAGCAAGUAUCUGUUUCUGUUGUUCUGAAAACUUAGUACCUGUAUGUUGUAACAAUUAGCCACAAAAGGUUGUAUAUAACUAUCAAUACUCCAAAAAAUAAGGAAGAAGUUGGUAUUUUCACUUAAAUUUUUAUUUUGAAUCAAAAGAUCAAAUUAGAAAUGUAACUAUUUUAAGGAAUAGGUGGAAAUAACAUUAAAUUUUUGUCUGAAGGUAUUCUGAAGAACAAAAUGUUUUACUGUAUUGUUUUAUUUAAAAAAAAUAACAGAAGAGCAGUAAAUAAAUUUGGCAAUGUAGGGAAAACAGUAAAAAAUUAAAGGAAACAAUGACCUGUAACUCUUUAAAUAACCACUUAACACUUUUCCUUUCCUUCCUUCUACCUGUGUGGUGGCCUACCUGUGUGUAAGAGCAUGGCUGUGAUCACACUGAAUACAGGGUAGAUGGAGACUUCUUGACUCUGGUGGUUUCCCACAUCCCCAGCUCUUCAGUCAUUUCCUCUUGAGAAAAGGCGACCAAAGGCUUCACUAUUUGCUAAACAAAAGAAAAAAAUCCAGUAGUUCCCUAAAGGCAAUAAGUAUAUGCCAUUAGAUGCACAAGAAAUGAAUUUGAAUGGCAACCUGUGACAGAUGGCGUCCUCACGGAAUUCAUUCCCACUGAUUUCCACCUGGUCUCAGAUCCGCGCCCCCCCCACCCCGCCCCAUACAGUGCUGUACAUAGUCACACUGUUGAUUGGAAGUAUGGUGGAACCUUCAAACACUGGUUUUCAUCUUAUACCUCAUGAUAUAAGGUAAUUUGCUGACUCUUAAGUUUUUCUCAAAUAUUGCCAUGUUUGUCAGCCCUGUAUCAGACUAACAGAAAUGAGACUCAUUCUUAGCUGUAGUUUAAAUCUAUUACUUAAUCACAGUGGCUGAGGAGCUGGCUCACUUUUAGUAUUAUUUUUAGAUUUUUUUCUUUCUAUUUUAAUACUUAAUCCCCUCCCCCCCAAAUUUUUUUUCUUUUGGACCAGCAAAAAUUCUGAGUGGGUUGCUACAGCUUCAUAGGUCAAAUUAAGUUCUGCCUAAGUCACUUUCCAGACCAGGUGCAGGAGGGGAGAAACGAAGAAAACCGUGGCAGUUUCUUUACAGAAGACAGUGAAAUCAGAUUGUGGGAGGCCUGUGGUAGCUUCAGUUUGUGGGGCAUAGCACCAGAGAUAUAGAUGCUCUGUAGAGAAGCUCCAGAAGUCUGCAGGGGUGUCAAAAGAGCUUUUGCUGUUUGCUAAAGAAUACAUACCUAGAAUAAAAUGCCACAAAAAUCAGACAAAAAGCCAUUAUUGGUAAUCUGUAAAUUGAACAAUUCCCAGAGCUUACACGUAGGUGAGAGACAGUUGAGUUUUCACCACCAGAGUGCCAAGACCCCAUUUAAAAUCUUGGGCAUUCAGUAGAUACCCCAGAGUCAUGCCUUAGAACAGGGCUAAGGGUUGUAAGUAAAGGUCUACCCUAGACCACUCUAACAAAACUUAAAAACAACUUCAGAAGGAUCAGGUUGAUUAGCAAGUAACUGCCUGCAAAAUUCAAUAUUUUAAAUAGAUAAGAACAUGCAAAGAAAAAAAUCAGUCAAUAGAAACAGUCUCAGAAAUGACAGAGGUGGGGAUGCCUGGGUGGCUUAGUUGGUUACACGUCCAACUUUGGCUCAAAUUAUGUUCUCAUGGCUUGU
This is a long non-coding RNA of Suricata suricatta (meerkat), 2026 nucleotides long. RefSeq lists it as uncharacterized. NCBI's taxonomy places the organism in Eukaryota, Metazoa, Chordata, Mammalia, Carnivora, Herpestidae. The record is from RefSeq and is a predicted model, not a curated record. The transcript is spliced from 3 exons.